GGAUGCGAUCAUACCAGCACUAAAGCACCGGAUCCCAUCAGAACUCUGAAGUUAAGUGUGCUUGGGCGAGAGUAGUACUAGGAUGGGUGACCACCUGGGAAGUCCUCGUGUUGCAUUCC
This 119-nucleotide ribosomal RNA is filed under the name Triticum aestivum (bread wheat). The record is from RNAcentral. Lineage: Eukaryota; Viridiplantae; Streptophyta; Magnoliopsida; Poales; Poaceae.